RNAcentral lists this ribosomal RNA (305 nucleotides) under uncultured bacterium. RNAcentral describes it as "bacterial SSU rRNA". It matches the Rfam family "Bacterial small subunit ribosomal RNA", at positions 335 to 639 of the family's 1533-position model. The record is from RNAcentral.
GGCCUACGGGAGGCAGCAGUGAGGAAUAUUGGUCAAUGGCCGAGAGGCUGAACCAGCCAAGUCGCGUGAGGGAAGACGGCCCUACGGGUUGUAAACCUCUUUUGUCGGGGAGCAAAGAGAGUCACGUGUGACUCAUUGAGAGUACCCGAAGAAAAAGCAUCGGCUAACUCCGUGCCAGCAGCCGCGGUAAUACGGAGGAUGCGAGCGUUAUCCGGAUUUAUUGGGUUUAAAGGGUGCGUAGGCGGAAUGCCAAGUCAGCGGUAAAAUCGCGGGGCUCAACCUCGCUCCGCCGUUGAAACUGGCGU